This 586-nucleotide ribosomal RNA is filed under the name uncultured bacterium. Its description in RNAcentral is "bacterial SSU rRNA". It matches the Rfam family "Bacterial small subunit ribosomal RNA", at positions 338 to 920 of the family's 1533-position model. The record is from RNAcentral.
CCUACGGGAGGCAGCAGUGAGGAAUAUUGGUCAAUGGGCGCAAGCCUGAACCAGCCAUCCCGCGUGCAGGAAGACGGCCCUAUGGGUUGUAAACUGCUUUUCCAGGGAGAGAAACUUGCGCACGUGUUGCGCAAUUGACGGUACCCUGGGAAUAAGCAUCGGCUAACUCCGUGCCAGCAGCCGCGGUAAUACGGAGGAUCCGAGCGUUAUCCGGAUUUAUUGGGUUUAAAGGGUGCGUAGGCGGGAUAAUGAGUCAGUGGUGAAAGUUUGCAGCUUAACUGUAAAAUUGCCGUUGAAACUGUUAUUCUUGAGAGUAGAUAAGGUAGGCGGAAUGUGUUGUGUAGCGGUGAAAUGCAUAGAUAUAACACAGAACCCCGAUUGCGAAGGCAGCUUACCGGGCUACAUCUGACGCUCAUGCACGAAAGCGUGGGGAUCAAACAGGAUUAGAUACCCUGGUAGUCCACGCUGUAAACGAUGAUUACUGGGUGUCGGGUUCGAAGAGGAUUCGGUGCCGUAGCUAACGCGAUAAGUGAUUCGCCUGGGGAGUACGAUCGCAAGGUUGAAACUCAAAUGAAUUGACGGAGUC